Small nuclear RNA from Diospyros lotus (date-plum), 117 nucleotides. RefSeq annotates it as U5 spliceosomal RNA. NCBI's taxonomy places the organism in Eukaryota, Viridiplantae, Streptophyta, Magnoliopsida, Ericales, Ebenaceae. The transcript has a single exon. The record is from RefSeq and is a predicted model, not a curated record.
AGCCGUGCAGAGAGCGCAGAGCGAACUAUUCUUUCGCCUUUUACUAAAGAAUACCGUGCGUUCGCUGCAUAUUGCGGCAUACGCUUAUUUUUGGAGGAGCUUUCCCAUUUUUGGGCU